UGUAAUGAAGGCCUUCCUUGG
Caenorhabditis elegans is the source of this 21-nucleotide non-coding RNA. The record is from Ensembl. Lineage: Eukaryota; Metazoa; Nematoda; Chromadorea; Rhabditida; Rhabditidae.